RNAcentral lists this ribosomal RNA (486 nucleotides) under uncultured bacterium. Its description in RNAcentral is "partial 16S ribosomal RNA". It matches the Rfam family "Bacterial small subunit ribosomal RNA", at positions 30 to 507 of the family's 1533-position model. The record is from RNAcentral.
AUUGAACGCUGGCGGCAUGCCUUACACAUGCAAGUCGAACGGCAGCACGGGUGUUUGCACUUGGUGGAGAGUGGCGCACGGGUGUGUAAUACAUGGGUAUACGUCCUGUAGUGGGGGAUAGUCCGGCGAAAGCCGCUUUUAUACCGCACACGAUGUGCGGAUGAAAGCGGGGUAUCCUCGGCUCACGCUCUAUGGGGUUGCUCGAUGGCUGAUUAGCUAGUUGGUGGGGUAAAGGCCUACCAAGGCGACGAUCAGUAGCUGGUCUGAGAGGACGACCAGCCACACUGGGACUGAGACACGGCCCAGACUCCUACGGGAGGCAGCAGUGGGGAAUAUUGGACAAAGGGCGAAAGCCUGAUCCAGCAAUGCCGCGUGUGUGAAGAAGGCCUUCGGAUUGUAAAGCACUUUUAGCCGGGAAGAAGGCCAUUACCCUAAUACCGUCGUGGGUUGACGGUACCGAAAGAAUAAGCACCGGCUAACUACGUG